This 564-nucleotide long non-coding RNA is filed under the name Junco hyemalis (dark-eyed junco). RNAcentral's name for it is "lncRNA (ENSJHYG00000010574.1)". The record is from RNAcentral. Lineage: Eukaryota; Metazoa; Chordata; Aves; Passeriformes; Passerellidae.
UUUCCAAGAUCCCUGGGGCAACAAUCCCUUCGAGUUGAUUGCAGUGCAUGGAAAGAAGAAGUCCUCUCAGACAAGCUAGUGUGUUAAAGCCACUAAGAGGAUCUGCUGUGCCCAGCUGUGGCAGAAGGCUGCCUUCCCUGCACUGCCCAGUGAGUGUAGAAGCUCUCUGGCAUUGGCAUGCCUGGCAUUUCAUGCGUGGUGCCCAACACUAGCACAGUGAAGCCCAGGUUUCCAGGAAGCCCAAAAGUCCACGUGGGCACAUCCCUGGAGAAGACAGCCACAGCUCAGCCUCCUGUUUUACCUCUUGGACUGCCGUGUCCCUCUGAGACAGACUCCAUUGAGAUCUCUGUGAAAUGAAAGAUGUGACUUACCAGUAUCACACAAGCUGUUCCAAGAAUAUCAGCAAGGCACUGGAAAAUGGCAGGGGGACUGGAGACUUUCCUGAGAAGGUUUUACCCAGUGAUGGAAAAUAUAUUUGUGCUAUUACUUUAGCACAAGUGUCUUCUAUAAUGCUAAGGUUUGCUUUCAAAUAAAACAUAAAUUGCACAUCUGGUUGGAAGAAAU